This 1464-nucleotide ribosomal RNA is filed under the name Triticum aestivum (bread wheat). RNAcentral describes it as "partial small subunit ribosomal RNA". The record is from RNAcentral. Lineage: Eukaryota; Viridiplantae; Streptophyta; Magnoliopsida; Poales; Poaceae.
AUGAGCAGGAGGACAUCCAUCCAUCCAUCCCAAAGGUAUGUUGGUGAGGCAGUUCAAGUGUACUCCUGCUUAAAUUUGACCUCAGUUUUACUAUUGCAGCAAAAUCUAGCAAGUACAAUGACGAUGGUGCUGGAUGCAUUUGCAUCCUACCUGGGGGACUUGCUCAAGCAGGUGGUAGAGGAAGAGCUAGGAACGAUGUUGGGUGUCUCCGACGAGAUCGACAAGUUGGGCAACAAGUUCCAGGACCUCAAGAACUUCCUCGCUGACGCUGAUAGGAGGAACAUCACCGACGAGACUGUGCAAGAGUGGGUGGGGCAGCUCAAGCGGGCCACGUAUGAAGCUGCUGACAUCCUCGACCUUUGUCAGCUCAAGGCCAUGGAGCAUGGACCAUCCACCGUAAAUGCAGGGUGUUUUAAUCCCUUGCUUUUCUGCAUGCGCAAUCCCUUCCAUGCUCAUGAGAUCGGCACCCGUAUCAAGGCUCUCAACCAGAGGCUUGACUCCAUCAAGGAGCGCAGUGCUGCUUUCAACUUUAUCAAUCUCAGGUCCUAUGAGGAUCAUAGCAGUCAUGGUAAUCUUAGCCGGGAGACGAUAGGGGACUUUGACCAGUCGGCUGUAGUUGGGGACAAGAUUGAAGAAGACACAAGAGCACUAGUGGCCCAGAUCAUGCAAACCGGAAAGGUCAAUGAUGACAUCAUGGUGGUUGCCAUCGUAGGUGCCGGCGUGAUUGGCAAGACCACCCUCGCGCAGAAGGUUUUAAAUGAUGAGACCAUCCAAGGUGAGUUCAGUAAAAAGUUAUGGUUGAGCGUCAACCAAAACUUCAGUGAUGUUGAGCUGCUAAGAAGAGCCAUCAUCGAAGCCAGAGGAGACCACUCAUCAGCUGGGAAUGUAAAGGCCAUGCUUCACCAAACCCUCAAGGACACCUUGAUUGGCCAAAAGACUUUACUCGUAAUGGAUGAUGUCUGGGACCAUGGAGCAUGGGAGAAUGUGCUCAAAAUACCCUUUGUCAAUGUUGCUGCUUCGGGAAGCAGAGUUCUUAUCACCACUAGAGAUGAAGGCGUAGCUCGACAAAUGAUAGCCAUAUGGCCCUACCACCAUGUUAACACAUUAUUGCCUGAAGAUGCUUGGUCAUUGCUCAAGAGGCAGGUACUCUCAAGUGAGAUAGAUGAAGACCACACAAAUACGCUAAAGGAUAUCGGACUGAAAAUUAUAGAAAAAUGUGGUUAUUUACCACUUGCCGUUAAAGUAAUGGGAGGACUAUUGCGUGAAAGAGGAGGGCUACAUCGUGAUUGGGAGCAUGUUUUGGAUGAUUCUGUCACGCCCCUAGAUCAGGAGCUGACAAAUCGAUACCGAACAUCACCAAAUCCAUGGAUACAAGUGUUCCUGGUGUAUGAAUUAAAUCACCAAACCAAAGUUCACAAAGGGACUACAAUCCAGAGAAGAGAAUCAAGGAUGGGAAGAGCAUAG